Molecule: transfer RNA, 73 nt
Filed under: Pseudomonadota bacterium
Lineage: Bacteria; Pseudomonadati; Pseudomonadota
Also listed under: 5 other names
Description: tRNA-Ile
Rfam family: tRNA
About the family: Transfer RNA (tRNA) molecules are approximately 80 nucleotides in length. Their secondary structure includes four short double-helical elements and three loops (D, anti-codon, and T loops).
Source: RNAcentral
GGGUCCAUAGCUCAACGGUCAGAGCAUCCGGCUCAUAACCGGCUGGUUGCAGGUUCGAAUCCUGCUGGACCCA